CCCAGUGUUCAGACUACCUGUUCAGGAUCUUACUGGUGUACAGUAGUCUGCACAUUGGUU
This 60-nucleotide microRNA precursor is filed under the name Oreochromis niloticus (Nile tilapia). RNAcentral describes it as "microRNA oni-mir-199a precursor (oni-mir-199a-1)". Its record names the gene oni-mir-199a-1. It matches the Rfam family "mir-199 microRNA precursor family", at positions 12 to 70 of the family's 80-position model. From Rfam's summary of the family: This family consists of the microRNA (miRNA) precursor mir-199 which appears to be specific to humans. Animal miRNAs are transcribed as ~70nt precursors and subsequently processed by the Dicer enzyme to give a ~22nt product. The record is from miRBase by way of RNAcentral. RNAcentral also lists the same sequence under 3 other names. Lineage: Eukaryota; Metazoa; Chordata; Actinopteri; Cichliformes; Cichlidae.